UUAAGCGACUAAGCGUACACGGUGGAUGCCCUGGCAGUCAGAGGCGAUGAAGGACGUGCUAAUCUGCGAAAAGCGUCGGUAAGGUGAUAUGAACCGUUAUAACCGGCGAUGUCCGAAUGGGGAAACCCAGUGCAAUUCGUUGCACUAUCGUUAACUGAAUACAUAGGUUAACGAGGCGAACCGGGGGAACUGAAACAUCUAAGUACCCCGAGGAAAAGAAAUCAACCGAGAUUCCCCCAGUAGCGGCGAGCGAACGGGGAGCAGCCCAGAGUCUGAAUCAGCUUGUGUGUUAGUGGAACGGUCUGGAAAGUCCGACGGUACAGGGUGAUAGUCCCGUACACCAAAAUGCACAGGCUGUGAACUCGAAGAGUAGGGCGGGACACGUGGUAUCCUGUCUGAAUAUGGGGGGACCAUCCUCCAAGGCUAAAUACUCCUGACUGACCGAUAGUGAACCAGUACCGUGAGGGAAAGGCGAAAAGAACCCCGGCGAGGGGAGUGAAAAAGAACCUGAAACCGUGUACGUACAAGCAGUGGGAGCACCUUCGGGUGUGACUGCGUACCUUUUGUAUAAUGGGUCAGCGACUUAUAUUCUGUAGCAAGGUUAACCGUAUAGGGGAGCCGCAGGGAAACCGAGUCUUAACUGGGCGUUAAGUUGCAGGGUAUAGACCCGAAACCCGGUGAUCUAGCCAUGGGCAGGUUGAAGGUUGGGUAACACUAACUGGAGGACCGAACCGACUAAUGUUGAAAAAUUAGCGGAUGACUUGUGGCUGGGGGUGAAAGGCCAAUCAAACCGGGAGAUAGCUGGUUCUCCCCGAAAGCUAUUUAGGUAGCGCCUCGUGAAUUCAUCUUCGGGGGUAGAGCACUGUUUCGGCUAGGGGGUCAUCCCGACUUACCAACCCGAUGCAAACUACGAAUACCGAAGAAUGUUAUCACGGGAGACACACGGCGGGUGCUAACGUCCGUCGUGAAGAGGGAAACAACCCAGACCGCCAGCUAAGGUCCCAAAGUCAUGGUUAAGUGGGAAACGAUGUGGGAAGGCACAGACAGCCAGGAUGUUGGCUUAGAAGCAGCCAUCAUUUAAAGAAAGCGUAAUAGCUCACUGGUCGAGUCGGCCUGCGCGGAAGAUGUAACGGGGCUAAACCAUGCACCGAAGCUGCGGCAGCGACACUAUGUGUUGUUGGGUAGGGGAGCGUUCUGUAAGCCUGCGAAGGUGUGCUGUGAGGCAUGCUGGAGGUAUCAGAAGUGCGAAUGCUGACAUAAGUAACGAUAAAGCGGGUGAAAAGCCCGCUCGCCGGAAGACCAAGGGUUCCUGUCCAACGUUAAUCGGGGCAGGGUGAGUCGACCCCUAAGGCGAGGCCGAAAGGCGUAGUCGAUGGGAAACAGGUUAAUAUUCCUGUACUUGGUGUUACUGCGAAGGGGGGACGGAGAAGGCUAUGUUAGCCGGGCGACGGUUGUCCCGGUUUAAGCAUGUAGGCUGGUUAUCCAGGCAAAUCCGGAUAAUCAAGGCUGAGGUGUGAUGACGAGGCACUACGGUGCUGAAGUAACAAAUGCCCUGCUUCCAGGAAAAGCCUCUAAGCAUCAGGUAACAUCAAAUCGUACCCCAAACCGACACAGGUGGUCAGGUAGAGAAUACCAAGGCGCUUGAGAGAACUCGGGUGAAGGAACUAGGCAAAAUGGUGCCGUAACUUCGGGAGAAGGCACGCUGGUGUGUAGGUGAAGUCCCUGCGGAUGGAGCUGAGACCAGUCGAAGAUACCAGCUGGCUGCAACUGUUUAUUAAAAACACAGCACUGUGCAAACACGAAAGUGGACGUAUACGGUGUGACGCCUGCCCGGUGCCGGAAGGUUAAUUGAUGGGGUUAUCCGUAAGGAGAAGCUCUUGAUCGAAGCCCCGGUAAACGGCGGCCGUAACUAUAACGGUCCUAAGGUAGCGAAAUUCCUUGUCGGGUAAGUUCCGACCUGCACGAAUGGCGUAAUGAUGGCCAGGCUGUCUCCACCCGAGACUCAGUGAAAUUGAACUCGCUGUGAAGAUGCAGUGUACCCGCGGCAAGACGGAAAGACCCCGUGAACCUUUACUAUAGCUUGACACUGAACAUUGAGCCUUGAUGUGUAGGAUAGGUGGGAGGCUUUGAAGCGUGGACGCCAGUCUGCGUGGAGCCAACCUUGAAAUACCACCCUUUAAUGUUUGAUGUUCUAACGUUGGCCCCUGACCGGGGUUGCGGACAGUGUCUGGUGGGUAGUUUGACUGGGGCGGUCUCCUCCCAAAGCGUAACGGAGGAGCACGAAGGUUAGCUAAUCCUGGUCGGACAUCAGGAGGUUAGUGCAAUGGCAUAAGCUAGCUUGACUGCGAGCGUGACGGCGCGAGCAGGUGCGAAAGCAGGUCAUAGUGAUCCGGUGGUUCUGAAUGGAAGGGCCAUCGCUCAACGGAUAAAAGGUACUCCGGGGAUAACAGGCUGAUACCGCCCAAGAGUUCAUAUCGACGGCGGUGUUUGGCACCUCGAUGUCGGCUCAUCACAUCCUGGGGCUGAAGUAGGUCCCAAGGGUAUGGCUGUUCGCCAUUUAAAGUGGUACGCGAGCUGGGUUUAGAACGUCGUGAGACAGUUCGGUCCCUAUCUGCCGUGGGCGCUGGAGAAUUGAGGGGGGCUGCUCCUAGUACGAGAGGACCGGAGUGGACGCAUCACUGGUGUUCGGGUUGUCAUGCCAAUGGCACUGCCCGGUAGCUAAAUGCGGAAGAGAUAAGUGCUGAAAGCAUCUAAGCACGAAACUUGCCCCGAGAUGAGUUCUCCCUGAGACUUUAAGUCUCCUGAAGGAACGUUGAAGACGACGACGUUGAUAGGCCGGGUGUGUAAGCGCAGCGAUGCGUUGAGCUAACCGGUACUAAUGAACCGUGAGGCUUAACCUU
This 2900-nucleotide ribosomal RNA is filed under the name Klebsiella aerogenes. Its description in RNAcentral is "bacterial LSU rRNA". It matches the Rfam family "Bacterial large subunit ribosomal RNA". Lineage: Bacteria; Pseudomonadati; Pseudomonadota; Gammaproteobacteria; Enterobacterales; Enterobacteriaceae. RNAcentral also lists the same sequence under 1 other name. The record is from RNAcentral.